Molecule: ribosomal RNA, 885 nt
Filed under: Sporothrix gemella
Lineage: Eukaryota; Fungi; Ascomycota; Sordariomycetes; Ophiostomatales; Ophiostomataceae
Description: LSU rRNA
Rfam family: Eukaryotic large subunit ribosomal RNA
Source: RNAcentral
CUAGCAUAUCAAUAAGCGGAGGAAAAGAAACCAACAGGGAUUGCCCCAGUAACGGCGAGUGAAGCGGCAACAGCUCAAAUUUGAAAUCUGGCCCCCCGGCCCGAGUUGUAAUUUGGAGAGGAUGCUUUUGGCGCGGCGCCGUCCGAGUUCCUUGGAACAGGACGCCACAGAGGGUGAGAGCCCCGUACGGACGGACGCCUAGCCUCUACAAAGCUCCUUCGACGAGUCGAGUAGUUUGGGAAUGCUGCUCAAAAUGGGAGGUAAAUUUCUUCUAAAGCUAAAUACCGGCCAGAGACCGAUAGCGCACAAGUAGAGUGAUCGAAAGAUGAAAAGCACUUUGAAAAGAGGGUUAAAAAGUACGUGAAAUUGUUGAAAGGGAAGCGCCUGUGACCAGACUUGCGCCCCGUGGACCACCCGGCGUUCUCGCCGGUGCACUCCGCGGGGCGCAGGCCAGCAUCGGUUCUCCUAGGGGGAUAAAGGCCGCGGGAACGUAGCUCCUUCGGGAGUGUUAUAGCCCGUGGUGGCAUGCCCCUGGGGGGACCGAGGACCGCGCUUCGGCAAGGAUGCUGGCGUAAUGGUCACCAGCGACCCGUCUUGAAACACGGACCAAGGAGUCAAGCAUUGGGGCGAGUGUAUGGGUGCCAAACCCGCACGCGAAAUGAAAGUAAACGCAGGUGAGAGCUUCGGCGCAUCAUCGACCGAUCCUGAUGUCUUCGGAUGGAUUUGAGUAAGAGCCUUACCGCUUGGACCCGAAAGAUGGUGAACUAUGCCUGAAUAGGGUGAAGCCAGAGGAAACUCUGGUGGAGGCUCGCAGCGGUUCUGACGUGCAAAUCGAUCGUCAAAUUUGGGCAUGGGGGCGAAAGACUAAUCGAACCAUCACUAGCU